This 241-nucleotide ribosomal RNA is filed under the name uncultured Ignavigranum sp. RNAcentral describes it as "partial 16S ribosomal RNA". It matches the Rfam family "Bacterial small subunit ribosomal RNA", at positions 99 to 334 of the family's 1533-position model. Lineage: Bacteria; Bacillati; Bacillota; Bacilli; Lactobacillales; Aerococcaceae. The record is from RNAcentral.
CGGACGGGUGAGUAACACGUGGGAAACCUACCCUUCAGCGGGGGAUAACGGUUCGAAAGAAUCGCUAAUACCGCAUAAGAGGAUCAGUCGCCUGGCUGAUUCGUAAAAGAUGGCUCUGCUAUCACUGAAGGAUGGGCCCGCGGCGCAUUAGCUAGUUGGUAAGGUAACGGCUUACCAAGGCGAUGAUGCGUAGCCGACCUGAGAGGGUAAUCGGCCACAUUGGGACUGAGACACGGCCCAA